CCUACGGGAGGCAGCAGUGGGGAAUAUUGGACAAUGGGCGAAAGCCUGAUCCAGCAAUUCCGCGUGUGUGAAGAAGGCCUUCGGGUUGUAAAGCACUUUAGUGGGGGAAGAAACAGCUUGGCCACACCAAGCCUUGACGGUACCCCAAGAAUAAGCACCGGCUAACUCUGUGCCAGCAGCCGCGGUAAUACAGAGGGUGCAAGCGUUAAUCGGAUUUACUGGGCGUAAAGGGUGCGUAGGUGGCUAUUUAAGUCGGAUGUGAAAGCCCGGGGCUCAACCUCGGAAUUGCAUUCGAUACUGAGUGGCUAGAGUUCGGUAGAGGGCGGCGGAAUUUCCGGUGUAGCGGUGAAAUGCGUAGAUAUCGGAAGGAACAUCAAUGGCGAAGGCAGCCGCCUGGGCCUGGACUGACACUGAGGCACGAAAGCGUGGGUAGCAAACAGGAUUAGAUACCCUGGUAGUCCACGCCGUAAACGAUGAGAACUUGACGUUGGUUCGUUUUACGAAUCGGUGUCGCNGCUACGACGAUAAGUUACUCCGUCCGUCGGGUAGGUACGGCCGGCCGAACGGUUAGGUAAACGUUAAAACGUUAGUAAGUUAGUACGGCGUGAGACGUGCCGAACGGACGACGACGAGGGAGGUAGG
RNAcentral lists this ribosomal RNA (642 nucleotides) under uncultured bacterium. Its description in RNAcentral is "bacterial SSU rRNA". The stretch from base 1 to 539 matches the Rfam family "Bacterial small subunit ribosomal RNA", at positions 338 to 873 of the family's 1533-position model. The record is from RNAcentral.